AUUAGAUACCCUGGUAGUCCACACUGUAAACGAUGAUAACUAGGUGUGGGGGGUCUGACCCCUUCCGUGCCGCAGCUAACGCAAUAAGUUAUCCACCUGGGGAGUACGACCGCAAGGUUGAAACUCAAAGGAAUUGACGGGGACCCGCACAAGCAGUGGAUUAUGUGGUUUAAUUCGAAGCAACGCGAAGAACCUUACCAGCACUUGACAUCCUACUAACGAAAUGGAGACAUAUUAGGUGCCCUUCGGGGAAAGUAGAGACAGGUGGUGCAUGGUUGUCGUCAGCUCGUGUCGUGAGAUGUUGGGUUAAGUCCCGCAACGAGCGCAACCCCCGCCAUUAGUUGCUACGCAAGAGCACUCUAAUGGGACCGCUACCGACAAGGUGGAGGAAGGUGGGGACGGCGUCAAAUCAUCAUGCCCCUUAUGUGCUGGGCUACACACGUAAUACAAUGGCGCAAACAGAGGGAAGCGGAGCGGUGACGGCGAGCGAAUCCCAAAAAGUGCGUCCCAGUUCGGAUUGUAGUCUGCAACUCGACUACAUGAAGCCGGAAUCGCUAGUAAUCGCGGAUCAGAAUGCCGCGGUGAAUACGUUCCCGGGUCUUGUACACACCGCCCGUCACACCAUGGGAGCCGGAAAUGCCCGAAGUCAGUGACCCAACCAAUAAGGAGGGAGCUGCCGAAGGCAGGUCUGGUGACUGGGGUGAAGUCGUAACAAGGUACC
Molecule: ribosomal RNA, 721 nt
Filed under: uncultured bacterium
Lineage: Bacteria
Description: bacterial SSU rRNA
Rfam family: Bacterial small subunit ribosomal RNA
Source: RNAcentral